This 512-nucleotide ribosomal RNA is filed under the name uncultured bacterium. RNAcentral's name for it is "bacterial SSU rRNA". It matches the Rfam family "Bacterial small subunit ribosomal RNA", at positions 17 to 518 of the family's 1533-position model. The record is from RNAcentral.
UUCUGGCUCAGAACGAACGCUGGCGGCGCGUUUAAGCAUGCAAGUCGAGCGGCAAGGGCCUCGGGCCCCUAGAGCGGCGGACGGGUGAGUAACACGUGGACAAUCUGCCCCCCGGCCCGGGAUAGCCCAGGGAAACCUGGAUUAAUACCGGAUGAGACGGGACCCGCGAUGGCGGGACCCGGGAAAGGCGCUGCGGCGCCGCCGGGGGAUGAGUCUGCGUCCCAUUAGCUAGACGGCGGGGUAACGGCCCACCGUGGCGACGAUGGGUAGCCGGCCUGAGAGGGUGGACGGCCACAUUGGAACUGAGACACGGUCCAGACUCCUACGGGAGGCAGCAGCUAAGAAUCUUCCGCAAUGGGCGAAAGCCUGACGGAGCGACGCCGCGUGAGUGAAGAAGGUUUUUUCCGGAUCGUAAAACUCUGUUGUCAGAGAAGAACAAGUUGGAGAGUAACUGCUCCAGCCUUGACGGUAUCUGACCAGAAAGCCACGGCUAACUACGUGCCAGCAGCCGC